UACGGAGGGUGCAAGCGUUGUCCGGAUUUAUUGGGUUUAAAGGGUGCGUAGGCGGAAUAAUAAGUCAGUGGUGAAAGCCUGCGGCUUAACCGUAGAAUUGCCAUUGAUACUGUAAUUCUUGAGUUCAGUUGAGGUAACUGGAAUACGUAGUGUAGCGGUGAAAUGCAUAGAUAUUACGUAGAACACCGAUAGCGAAGGCAGGUUGCUAAACUGAAACUGACGCUGAUGCACGAAAGCGUGGGGAGCGAACAGG
Molecule: unclassified non-coding RNA, 253 nt
Filed under: uncultured Bacteroidia bacterium
Lineage: Bacteria; Pseudomonadati; Bacteroidota; Bacteroidia
Description: contains 16S-23S intergenic spacer region
Rfam family: Bacterial small subunit ribosomal RNA
Source: RNAcentral